Oreochromis niloticus (Nile tilapia) is the source of this 235-nucleotide long non-coding RNA. RefSeq lists it as uncharacterized. The record is from RefSeq and is a predicted model, not a curated record. NCBI's taxonomy places the organism in Eukaryota, Metazoa, Chordata, Actinopteri, Cichliformes, Cichlidae. The transcript has 2 exons.
GCUGAGCCUGUGCUGAGUGUUACAGGAAAAGAAACAGUGACACUGGUAGACACAGUGAUGCUGACUGGGGCACAGAGCUGAAUGAUGCAGCAUCAGGACACUGUUUCAGUCUGACUGACAGAGAAACCUGUAGCUGCAUCUACAUGUGAGGCAGAGGCCACACAAGCAGGUUUCUAUGUUUCACAGUGACUGAGAUCUUCAGUGGGGGUGGACAUGCUCCUGUACAGACCUCUGA